This 323-nucleotide unclassified non-coding RNA is filed under the name soil metagenome. Its description in RNAcentral is "partial contains 5.8S ribosomal RNA, internal transcribed spacer 2, and large subunit ribosomal RNA". The stretch from base 1 to 121 matches the Rfam family "5.8S ribosomal RNA", at positions 35 to 154 of the family's 154-position model. The record is from RNAcentral.
GAUGAAGAACGGUAGCGAAAUGCGAUAAGUAAUGUGAAUUGCAGAAUUCAGUGAAUCAUCGAAUCUUUGAACGCACAUUGCGCCCUUUGGCAUUCCGAAGGGCACACCUGUCCGAGCGCCGUCGCACAACUGAGGCGCAGCCUUGCGUUGGCGGGCGACUUGUGAGUAGCGAGUCGCCGCCCAAACGAGACGGCGCCGCGCCGCGGCCGACGAAGCACGAAAGCGGAAGUCGACGCGGAGGCGGUUGCCUGUAGGAAGACACAGCUUGGCCUCGGAUCAGGUGGGGAUACCCGCUGAACUUAAGCAUAUCAAUAAGCGGAGGA